RNAcentral lists this ribosomal RNA (428 nucleotides) under uncultured prokaryote. Its description in RNAcentral is "bacterial SSU rRNA". It matches the Rfam family "Bacterial small subunit ribosomal RNA", at positions 355 to 774 of the family's 1533-position model. The record is from RNAcentral.
UGGGGAAUUUUGCGCAAUGGGCGAAAGCAUGACGCAGCAACGCCGCGUGAGUGAUGAAGGCUUUAGGGUCGUACAGCUCUGUCAAGGGGAAAGAAGUGUAUUAUGGUUAAUACCCAUGAUGCUUGACGGUACCCCUAAAGGAAGAACCGGCUAACUCCGUGCCAGCAGCCGCGGUAAUACGGGGGUUGCAAGCGUUGUUCGGAAUUAUUGGGCGUAAAGCGCGUGUAGGCGGUUUGUUAAGUCUGAUGUGAAAGCCCCGGGCUCAACCUGGGAAGUGCAUUGGAAACUGGCAGACUUGAAUACGGGAGAGGGUAGUGGAAUUCCUGGUGUAGGAGUGAAAUCCGUAGAUAUCAGGAGGAACACCGGUGGCGAAGGCGGCUGCCUGGACCGAUAUUGACGCUGAGACGCGAAAGCGUGGGUAGCAAACA